Molecule: ribosomal RNA, 410 nt
Filed under: uncultured microorganism
Description: bacterial SSU rRNA
Rfam family: Bacterial small subunit ribosomal RNA
Source: RNAcentral
CAGCCGCCGCGGUAAUACGUAGGGUGCGAGCGUUAAUCGGAUUUACUGGGCGUAAAGCGUGCGCAGGCGGCCCGUUAAGACAGGUGUGAAAUCCCUGGGCUCAACCUAGGAAUUGCGCUUGUGACUGGCGGGCUCGAGUACGGUAGAGGGGGGUGGAAUUCCUGGUGUAGCAGUGAAAUGCGUAGAGAUCAGGAGGAACACCGAUGGCGAAGGCAGCCCCCUGGGCCUGUACUGACGCUCAUGCACGAAAGCGUGGGGAGCAAACAGGAUUAGAUACCCUGGUAGUCCACGCCCUAAACGAUGGGUACUAGCCGUUUGGUGCGCGAUAGCGCUGAGUGGCGAAGCUAACGCGUGAAGUACCCCGCCUGGGGAGUACGGCCGCAAGGUUGAAACUUAAAAGAAUUGGCGGG